This 996-nucleotide unclassified non-coding RNA is filed under the name Hevea brasiliensis (rubber tree). Lineage: Eukaryota; Viridiplantae; Streptophyta; Magnoliopsida; Malpighiales; Euphorbiaceae. The record is from RNAcentral.
UCUUUCGGCCACGCCAUUUUGGGACGAGAUAUCCACAUAGGAAGACUGAUGAAAAAUGCCAUUUUGUGUCAUAUAAGAUUGAAAGGUUGUAGAAAAGUUUUCUUUGGCAUUAUCACUUCUUAAUGUACAUAUGAAAACAUUAAAUUGUGUUUUUGUUUUAGCACAAAAAGCACAAAAGAUAGAAAACAAUUCAGAAUGACUUUUCAUUAAAUAUAACUAAGUCACAGGAGAUUAAUUAUCAACAAAAGUGACAAAGUACUUAAAUCUAGUUUUGGACACAAUAGGAUAAGGACCCUAGACAUCAAAAUGAUCCAAUUCAGAGGGAACAUAGCCUAUUUAUUGACUCUAGAUACUUUAGGAAGAUGAUGAUAUUUAGCAAACUGACAUGACUUAUAAUCUAAUGAAGAAAUGUUUUGAAAUUGAGGGCUCAUUUUCUAUAAGGAAGAUAGAGAAUGAUGUCCCUGUCUAUAGUGUACUUCUAAAGGAGUCAAAGCACUAGAACAAGCAAUAGACCUCGUCACCAUUGUAUCCAGGAUGUAGAGACCAUCGAACUAAUGACCUCUUUACCAAUAAUUUGUUUCGUUGUAAGAUUCUGAAAUAAACAAUGAUUAGGAACGAAUGAGACAACACAAUUCAAUGCUCAGGUGAGUUUGCCAACAAAAUUUAAUUAAAAGAAACCUCAAGUAGACUCAACGUAGAAGACAAAGAAAUUGAAGUUGGAUUUAUAGUUCUAGUCCAACAUGAUUGGACCAAGCAUAUAGAGAUCGUUCAACACUUCAUAAAAGAGAAAAUAGUAGAUGGAAUUUUUGAGUCUCUCUCAUGUGUCUUCAAAAGAACAGUUAGCCAACGUGUUUACUAAGGACUUCAGCGGUACUUUGUUUCAUGCUGUAGUUUGCAAAUUGGGCAUGUGGGAUAUACAUGAACCGACUGGACAGGGAGUGUUGGAAUCCCUGAUUUGUUGUAGUAGCAAAUUAUUAGGAUCUUAUUUGAUUAUUU